Molecule: ribosomal RNA, 270 nt
Filed under: uncultured Eubacteriales bacterium
Lineage: Bacteria; Bacillati; Bacillota; Clostridia; Eubacteriales
Description: uncultured Clostridiales bacterium partial 16S ribosomal RNA
Rfam family: Bacterial small subunit ribosomal RNA
Source: RNAcentral
AGAGAGCUUGCUUUCUCGAGCGAGUGGCGAACGGGUGAGUAACGCGUGAGGAACCUGCCUCAAAGAGGGGGAUAACGCACCGAAAGGUGCACUAAUACCGCAUAAGACCACGUUUCUGACAUGGGAAUGAGGUCAAAGGAGCAAUCCGGUGGAAGAUGGGCUCGCGUCUGAUUAGCUAGUUGGUGAGGUAACGGCCCACCAAGGCGACGAUCAGUAGCCGACCUGAGAGGGUGAUCGGCCACAUUGGAACUGAGAGACGGUCCAAACUCC